UACGGAGGAUGCAAGCGUUAUCCGGAAUGAUUGGGCGUAAAGCGUCCGCAGGUGGCAAUGUAAGUCUGCUGUCAAAGCGUCUGGCUCAACCAGAUAAAGGCAGUGGAAACUACAUAGCUAGAGUAAGGUAGGGGUAGAGGGAAUUCCUGGUGUAGCGGUGAAAUGCGUAGAGAUCAGGAGGAACACCGGUGGCGAAAGCGCUCUGCUGGACCUUAACUGACACUGAGGGACGAAAGCUAGGGGAGCGAAUGGG
Molecule: ribosomal RNA, 253 nt
Filed under: uncultured bacterium
Lineage: Bacteria
Description: partial 16S ribosomal RNA
Rfam family: Bacterial small subunit ribosomal RNA
Source: RNAcentral